GUAGGUGAACCUGCGGAAGGAUCAUUAAAUUUUAGCAGCCGCAAGGCAGCAACCGCCCACCGCGAGGUGGGGUCGGCACCCUCUGUCUACUUGUACCUCUUGUUGUUUCCUCGGCAGGCUUGCCUGCCGCCAGGAACCCCUAAACUCUUGUAUCUAAAGUAUUAUAAAAAACUCUGAUAACCACUUAAUUAUCACAACUUUCAACAAUGGAUCUCUUGGUUCUG
Molecule: unclassified non-coding RNA, 224 nt
Filed under: rhizosphere metagenome
Description: partial ribosomal RNA internal transcribed spacer region
Source: RNAcentral